AACGAACGCUGGCGGCAGGCCUAACACAUGCAAGUCGAACGCCGUAGCAAUACGGAGUGGCAGACGGGUGAGUAACGCGUGGGUGACCUGCCCUCAGCUCUGGGAUAAGCCUGGGAAACCGGGUCUAAUACCGGAUAUGACUCCAUGACGCAUGUUGUGGGGUGGAAAGCCUUGUGCGGCUGAGGAGUGGGCCCGCGGCCUAUCAGCUUGUUGGUGGGGUGAGUGGCCUACCAAGGCGACGACGGGUAGCCGGCCUGAGAGGGCGACCGGCCACACUGGGACUGAGACACGGCCCAGACUCCUACGGGAGGCGAGCAGUGGGGAAUCGUUGCGCAAUGGGCGAAAGCCUGACGCAGCGACGCCGCGUGAGGGAUGAC
RNAcentral lists this ribosomal RNA (377 nucleotides) under uncultured bacterium. Its description in RNAcentral is "bacterial SSU rRNA". It matches the Rfam family "Bacterial small subunit ribosomal RNA", at positions 28 to 412 of the family's 1533-position model. The record is from RNAcentral.